AUACCCUGGUAGUCCACGCCGUAAACGAUGUCGACUUGGAGGUUGUUCCCUUGAGGAGUGGCUUCCGGAGCUAACGCGUUAAGUCGACCGCCUGGGGAGUACGGCCGCAAGGUUAAAACUCAAAUGAAUUGACGGGGGCCCGCACAAGCGGUGGAGCAUGUGGUUUAAUUCGAUGCAACGCGAAGAACCUUACCUACUCUUGACAUCCAGCGAACUUUCCAGAGAUGGAUUGGUGCCUUCGGGAACGCUGAGACAGGUGCUGCAUGGCUGUCGUCAGCUCGUGUUGUGAAAUGUUGGGUUAAGUCCCGCAACGAGCGCAACCCUUAUCCUUUGUUGCCAGCGAUUCGGUCGGGAACUCAAAGGAGACUGCCGGUGAUAAACCGGAGGAAGGUGGGGAUGACGUCAAGUCAUCAUGGCCCUUACGAGUAGGGCUACACACGUGCUACAAUGGCGCAUACAAAGAGAAGCGACCUCGCGAGAGCAAGCGGACCUCACAAAGUGCGUCGUAGUCCGGAUCGGAGUCUGCAACUCGACUCCGUGAAGUCGGAAUCGCUAGUAAUCGUGGAUCAGAAUGCCACGGUGAAUACGUUCCCGGGCCUUGUACACACCGCCCGUCACACCAUGGGAGUGGGUUGCAAAAGAAGUAGGUAGCUUAACCUUCGGGAGGGCGCUUACCACUUUGUGAUUCAUGACUGGGGUGAAGUC
This 705-nucleotide ribosomal RNA is filed under the name bacterium. RNAcentral's name for it is "bacterial SSU rRNA". It matches the Rfam family "Bacterial small subunit ribosomal RNA", at positions 782 to 1487 of the family's 1533-position model. The record is from RNAcentral.